Molecule: ribosomal RNA, 162 nt
Filed under: Coniosporium sp. SL08581
Lineage: Eukaryota; Fungi; Ascomycota; Dothideomycetes
Description: partial 28S ribosomal RNA
Rfam family: Eukaryotic large subunit ribosomal RNA (bases 105-162)
Source: RNAcentral
CUAUCGGCGGUGGUGCCCUUCUCUAAGCGUGGUAAACUUUAUUCGCUUGUGAGUUGGGGCUUCACCCGCCGGACAAACCGGGCUCCGCGCCCAUUUUCUCAGGUUGACCUCGGAUCAGGUAGGGAUACCCGCUGAACUUAAGCAUAUCAAUAAGCGGAGGAA